This is a long non-coding RNA of Etheostoma spectabile (orangethroat darter), 243 nucleotides long. RefSeq lists it as uncharacterized. The transcript has 3 exons. Lineage: Eukaryota; Metazoa; Chordata; Actinopteri; Perciformes; Percidae. The record is from RefSeq and is a predicted model, not a curated record.
CACUUAAAAGCUCUGAAAACAUUUGACAUCUAGUAAAAGGUACCUUAAGAUACAUUUCUCUAAACUCCUGACAUUAAUAUCUGUCUUUAGCACUCAUUGUUAGCAUGUUUAAGACAACAGGUGCGUAAUAUCUCCUAAUAAAGAUAGAUCAGUAAAGAUGACUGUUACGGAAGUUGUGUUCCAUAUAAAAAACAUCAAAUGACACACACUUAAAUGAUGGCACAUUACAUAUUUAUAAUGGCA